AGAGAAGUGAUGAGUGAAGAUGAAUAGUCAAAGAUAAGAAAUCUCAACUUAGCUUAGAAAAAGAUAAGAAAUGUGAGUAAAAGAUAAAAAUUAAAAAAGAACAUUGGGUACAUGUCAACUGCUAUUUCACUGUUGGCUGGCCUUGCGCCGGCCUGAUGCACCGUUUCCAUCACAACCUUUACUCUCUUUUCUACCGUCUUUUUUUUAUUGUAGCGGCUCUCAUC
This 224-nucleotide long non-coding RNA is filed under the name Medicago truncatula (barrel medic). Its description in RNAcentral is "long non-coding RNA (MTRU_LNC003760)". The record is from RNAcentral. Lineage: Eukaryota; Viridiplantae; Streptophyta; Magnoliopsida; Fabales; Fabaceae.